This 603-nucleotide ribosomal RNA is filed under the name Bacteroides ovatus. RNAcentral's name for it is "bacterial SSU rRNA". It matches the Rfam family "Bacterial small subunit ribosomal RNA", at positions 69 to 667 of the family's 1533-position model. The record is from RNAcentral. Lineage: Bacteria; Pseudomonadati; Bacteroidota; Bacteroidia; Bacteroidales; Bacteroidaceae.
GCAUUUUUGUAGCCAUAGUAGAGAUGGCGACCGGCGCACGGGUGAGUAACACGUAUCCAACCUGCCGAUAACUCCGGGAUAGCCUUUCGAAAGAAAGAUUAAUACCGGAUAGUAUACGAAUAUCGCAUGAUAUUUUUAUUAAAGAAUUUCGGUUAUCGAUGGGGAUGCGUUCCAUUAGUUUGUUGGCGGGGUAACGGCCCACCAAGACUACGAUGGAUAGGGGUUCUGAGAGGAAGGUCCCCCACAUUGGAACUGAGACACGGUCCAAACUCCUACGGGAGGCAGCAGUGAGGAAUAUUGGUCAAUGGGCGAGAGCCUGAACCAGCCAAGUAGCGUGAAGGAUGAAGGCUCUAUGGGUCGUAAACUUCUUUUAUAUGGGAAUAAAGUUUUCCACGUGUGGAAUUUUGUAUGUACCAUAUGAAUAAGGAUCGGCUAACUCCGUGCCAGCAGCCGCGGUAAUACGGAGGAUCCGAGCGUUAUCCGGAUUUAUUGGGUUUAAAGGGAGCGUAGGUGGAUUGUUAAGUCAGUUGUGAAAGUUUGCGGCUCAACCGUAAAAUUGCAGUUGAAACUGGCAGUCUUGAGUACAGUAGAGGUGGGCGGAAU